AUGAUCAAGUCAAGACAAAAAUUAAGGUGAGAGCAUUAUGCAUAAUGGACUUUAUAAUCCACUUUUCUUUUGUCCCUUUUCCUUUUCUUCUUUAAAUUUGUUGGUAGGUUGGUUGGUUGUCUUAUAGCUUUAAGAGGCCAAUCUGUGUUAAGCUUGGGAUUUAAGCUUGGCAUCAAGACUAGCUAGCUGCACAUAUGCAUGCCAUCAUUGCAUUGCAUUGCAUGAUAUAUAUAGAAGAAGGUUCUCCACCUGCUAUGAGCCAUCCCUUUACCCUAGUGGCAAGCAAAAGACAUAUCCUUUACUUGUGAGCUGCAAUCAACACAAGGUCAAGAUCCUUGCAUGAAAGCAACACCCUCCUCAAAAACUAAUUAAUCACUUCACCAAUUAUUAGGGUUAGUUUGGGAGUGAUUCUGGAGAGGCUAAUAAUCAUCUUUCACUUCUUCAAAUAAUCUCUUUAAGUGAUUUUAUGGAUAAGCAUAUGGGAGGUGCUUCUCCCCAAAAUCACUUAUUAAAAUCACUAAAAGUGAUUAUGUGGAGAAGCAUGUGGGAGACACUUCUCCCCAUAAGUGAUUUUGACCUAUGUAAAAUCACUUUGAAACGAGCCCUAAGUCUCUUUAAAGCUACUUCAACAAAAGAAAUAAAAAUGUUAAAUAAUUUGAACAUAUAUACAUGUAUUUAAUUUGUUUAUGCAUAUGGCAUGGGACCAAGUUCAAAAUUAAUUUGAAUGUUAAAAAAGCAACUGUACAAUUGGCAGUAGAGCGUAGCUUGUUCCCUAAUCUAAUUUAAGUACCUAAAGUUGCUAUUUCGGUUGACUUCAUCACAAUUCACAAAUGUAUGCUUGAGGAGGAGAAAAAAUAAAAAAUAUCUUGACAAUUUCCUUUUCCUUUGGAUCUUUUUUCGUUAACAUUAUAUAUAUAUAUAUAUAUGUAUACAUACAUAUAUAAAUCUAUACAUGCAGUUGGCUAUGUGUGAACUGAAAAGCAAGGUUUGCAGUACUCGUGUAGAAAGUGGACUCCAAGUCAUGUGACAUGAAGAAAGAAUCUUGGGUUUCAUUUCAUCCUUACGUGUAUAAGGACCCCAUUAUAUAUAUAAUGCAUGGCCAUAUCAAAUCUCUCAGCCCAUCUCUCUCUCUCUCUCUCUCUCUCUCUCUCUCUCAAGAACAAAACAGUUGAGGGGAAUGUUGUCUGGUUCGAGAUCCUUCACAACUGUGGAGCUUAAGCAUAGUCUGAAUGAUUUCGGACCAGGCUUCAUUCCCCUCAACUAAGAGAAAUAAUUCACUACUUUAUAUACAUAUCAUGCAUUAAUUAAAAUGCAAUGAAUAAGAGCCUCUUGCCUUACUUAUGAUAGUAUUUAUGCAGAAGCUGCAGAUUUUCAAUUGAGGAAAGCAGAGCAGCUAGCCUACCUGUAGCCGAAAUUGGCAACCAGAGCAAGCGUCAUCAGUUGAGUCUAAUUUCUCUCUCUUCCAUGCCUAAAAUAUGUUGACUAAGAUAUGCAGUGCCAUUGUGAACAUAUGACUGCAAAUUAAGUUUUUUCUUCUGUCCUUUUGGUUUUGUUUAUUUGCUAGUGUCCCUUUUUUUUUUUUUUUUUUUCUUUUUUGUUAAAUUUUCUGGGAAAAGUAGGGGAAAGGAUAUAGAGACAGAGAGUCUCUCUAUUCCGUGAUUUGGGUUAGCAUGUUUCUUAAGAUUUUAGUACAUGCAUAUCUUUCUUCCAUGCCAAACCACCAUAUCUACAAGAUGAGUCAACCCUAAAUGGGGAACCAAAAAACUGAUAUUUCCAUGUGGCUCAGAUUUACAUGUGAGGUUCAUGAUUUCAGGUGGGACAGACCUCCUGGAUAUUGA
This 1838-nucleotide long non-coding RNA is filed under the name Prunus dulcis (almond). RNAcentral's name for it is "sRNA ncRNA". The stretch from base 1168 to 1261 matches the Rfam family "mir-166 microRNA precursor family". The record is from RNAcentral. Lineage: Eukaryota; Viridiplantae; Streptophyta; Magnoliopsida; Rosales; Rosaceae.